GCCUGAGUGGUGGAAUUGGUAGACGCGCACGACUCAAAAUCGUGUACCGAGAGGUGUGUCGGUUCGAUUCCGACCUCAGGCACCA
RNAcentral lists this transfer RNA (85 nucleotides) under Campylobacterales bacterium. RNAcentral's name for it is "tRNA-Leu". It matches the Rfam family "tRNA". Rfam says of the family: Transfer RNA (tRNA) molecules are approximately 80 nucleotides in length. Their secondary structure includes four short double-helical elements and three loops (D, anti-codon, and T loops). Further hydrogen bonds mediate the characteristic L-shaped molecular structure. tRNAs have two regions of fundamental functional importance: the anti-codon, which is responsible for specific mRNA codon recognition, and the 3' end, to which the tRNAs corresponding amino acid is attached (by aminoacyl-tRNA synthetases). tRNAs cope with the degeneracy of the genetic code in two manners: having more than one tRNA (with a specific anti-codon) for a particular amino acid; and 'wobble' base-pairing, i.e. permitting non-standard base-pairing at the 3rd anti-codon position. The record is from RNAcentral. Lineage: Bacteria; Pseudomonadati; Campylobacterota; Epsilonproteobacteria; Campylobacterales.